CCUUCUGUCCAGGAGAUCUCUUCUUGUGUAGCAUUCAUCAGUGUCUAUAUUCUGAGUGAAAGGUCACAGAGCAGUGAACUAGAAAACUCAACGGACAUGAGGGCCCUAUUGUAACAGGCACUGAUUUUACAGGGCUGGCCAAUUUGAGCAAAAGUUUGAGUUCAAGUCUCUCAGAAAUUAUGCAUCUGUGAUAUUUCCAGCAGAAAGUCAUGUGAUACAGCACACAUUGUUCUUGGUAAGACUGAUCAAUAAUAUCUCCUGUAAGCAUGGUACAAGUGCACCCUGAAGGAUCCCAAGCUGCUCACCUCCUGAGCUGCAGCCAAACACUUAAGGCCAGACUUGUCCUCUCCCAACCCACGGCUGGUCUGCAUAAGGCCAGUUCCCAUAGAACAACGUAGACCACUGAAAAUGCUCUAAACUAUGCUAGCUGCCUAAGGCCCCAAAGGGACAACCCAACAGCCAGGGUUUGCCUGGAUUCCCACUUUCCUCCAGCCAUGCUGAUCAGAG
Molecule: non-coding RNA, 507 nt
Organism: Chelonoidis abingdonii (Abingdon island giant tortoise)
Lineage: Eukaryota; Metazoa; Chordata; Testudines; Testudinidae
Source: RefSeq, a predicted model, not a curated record